CAGCACAGUCAGGCAGAGGUCUCUCUGAUCUCCAUCCAAUUCCCAGCCAUGCAUCCUUGAGAAUGUGCGCUGAGGCUGAUUGGACACACCUGUCUCUGCUCUGCAAUCAAGCCCGCAGAAACUUACCUCAGCUCCACAGUAUUGCCAGCAACUCACCAGUGUGCCUCUCUCUGUGCCUCACCACAGCCCAGCCGCAGCACUCUCACUCUGGAGCCACUACCCCCUACACAUGGAACCCUCUCCCUUCACAGAAAUUGUUAAACAAUAAA
Long non-coding RNA from Cheilinus undulatus (humphead wrasse), 269 nucleotides. RefSeq lists it as uncharacterized. The transcript has 3 exons. NCBI's taxonomy places the organism in Eukaryota, Metazoa, Chordata, Actinopteri, Labriformes, Labridae. The record is from RefSeq and is a predicted model, not a curated record.